AGUGAACGCUGGCGGCGUGCUUAACACAUGCAAGUCGAACGAGAACGGGUUAUAGCUUGCUAUAAUUGUCAGCUAAGUGGCGCACGGGUGAGUAAUGUAUAGGUAAUAUGCCUCUUACUAAGGGAUAACAAAUGGAAACGUUUGCUAAUACCUUAUACUCCUUAUUAACAGAAGUUAAUAAGGGAAAGAUUUAUUGGUAAGAGAUUAGCCUGUAUUGUAUCAGUUAGUUGGUGGGGUAAUGGCUUACCAAGACUAUGACACAUAACUGGUUUGACAGGAGGAUCAGUCACACUGGAACUGAGACACGGUCCAGACUCCUACGGGAGGCAGCAGUGGGGAAUAUUGCACAAUGGACGGAAGUCUGAUGCAGCAACGCCGCGUGGAGGAUGACACAUUUCGGUGCGUAAACUCCUUUUAUAUGAGAAGAUAAUGACGGUAUUAUAUGAAUAAGCACCGGCUAACUCCGUGCCAGCAGCCGCCGUAA
RNAcentral lists this ribosomal RNA (484 nucleotides) under uncultured bacterium. Its description in RNAcentral is "partial 16S ribosomal RNA". It matches the Rfam family "Bacterial small subunit ribosomal RNA", at positions 29 to 523 of the family's 1533-position model. The record is from RNAcentral.